Molecule: ribosomal RNA, 461 nt
Filed under: uncultured bacterium
Lineage: Bacteria
Description: partial 16S ribosomal RNA
Rfam family: Bacterial small subunit ribosomal RNA
Source: RNAcentral
CCUACGUGUGGCAGCAGUGAGGAAUAUUGGUCAAUGGGCGAGAGCCUGCACCAGCCAAGUCGCGUGAAGGAUGACGGCCCUACGGGUUGUACACUUCUUUUGUCAGGGAGCAAUUGAGUCCACGUGUGGUCUUAGCGAGAGUACCUGAAGAAAAUGCAUCGGCUAACUCCGUGCCAGCAGCCGCGGUAAUACGGAGGAUGCGAGCGUUAUCCGGAUUUACUGGGUGUAAAGGGCGUGUAGCCGGGAAGGCAAGUCAGAUGUGAAAUCCGGAGGCUCAACCUCCGAAUUGCAUUUGAAACUGUUUUUCUUGAGUACUGGAGAGGCAGACGGAAUUCCUUGUGUAGCGGUGAAAUGCGUAGAUAUAAGGAGGAACACCAGUGGCGAAGGCGGUCUGCUGGACAGCAACUGACGGUGAGGCGCGAAAGCGUGGGGAGCAAACAGGAUUAGAUACCCUUGUAGUC